This 512-nucleotide ribosomal RNA is filed under the name Microhyla nakkavaram (Nicobarese narrow-mouthed frog). Its description in RNAcentral is "partial large subunit ribosomal RNA". It matches the Rfam family "Bacterial large subunit ribosomal RNA", at positions 1951 to 2631 of the family's 2925-position model. The record is from RNAcentral. Lineage: Eukaryota; Metazoa; Chordata; Amphibia; Anura; Microhylidae.
CAAAGGUAGCGUAAUCACUUGUUCUUUAAAUGAGGACUAGUAUGAACGGCAUCACGAGGGUUAUGCUGUCUCCCUACUUUAUUCAGUGAAACUAAUCUCCCCGUGAAGAAGCGGGGAUAAAAAUAUAAGACGAGAAGACCCCAUGGAGCUUUAAACUCAGUAUCAACUGCCAUAAUUAAAGCCUUAUACCCAAGCAGUUCAUGACUACUAGUUUUCGGUUGGGGUGACCACGGAGUAUAACCUAACCUCCAUGAUGAAAGGAACUAAAAACCUAAAUUAAGGACUACAAUCCUAAAUAUCAUAAAAUUGACUAAUUGAUCCAAUUAAUUGAUCAACGAACCAAGUUACCCUGGGGAUAACAGCGCAAUCCAUUUCAAGAGCUCUUAUCGACAAAUGGGUUUACGACCUCGAUGUUGGAUCAGGGUAUCCCAGUGGCGCAGCCGCUACUAACGGUUCGUUUGUUCAACGAUUAAAACCUUACGUGAUCUGAGUUCAGAACCGGAGAGUGAUUA